GGUUAGUUGGUGGUUUUUUUAAUCUGGUUGUGUCUUAAUAAAAGUUACAAGCGCCAAGUGGUAUAAAAAAUUAAAAUCACAAAAAAAUACUGAACCGCCUCACAUACUAUCAUUUAGUAUAUUUUGUGAAGGGUAAUGUGACGGGUGUCAUUUGUGUUGUUGCACUGCUAAUUCUUGCAAACAUGAAAAAUUUCACUUCAGCUUUUUGGUGAUGUUAUAUUUAGGUGCCAGACUACCAAUUACUCUCUCCAAUUUAGAACGUAUGUAAAAGUAGCCCUGGUCUGACACAAAAUAGUGCUUUUGAUGUCCUUGAUUACUUAAACUAACCAACAAAUUUGCAGAAAUAAAAUUUUUGGUGAAAGAGAAAUAUAUUAAGACAAUUUUGAGCUAAAAUUAACUUGUUUAUGAGUUUGCAUUAAAAAUUGACGAUUAUUGCGCUUCAUAGUAUACUAAUUUAACAUUUCCAGAAAACCAAGGGUCAUUUUUGGAGUACCUCUGUUCGAAGGUCAGAUUUUUUCUUAGAAGGCUUUAAAGAUAUGUUGAAAAUAGACAUGUAGAAACCUGAUUCAUGUUCAAUUCUGGAUAUACCUGGUUUCUAUGAAGUUAAACUUAAGGUAAAAUAUUUGGAAAGCUGUGAAAUUGCAAAAUUUGGUUGAACCGAUAGGGAUUUUUAAUUGGUGGUCUGACACCUACAGUUCCUCGGUCUUUUGUUUUCUGUGUUAUGUUGACAGUCUUUGUGUCAUUAAAUGUUUCUAUGUGUUUUUCGUGGUACUUGUGGUUUAUUUUAUUGAACCCUUUGUAUUUAUACUUAGUUGUUUUGUAGUGAUUAUGACAGGACGAUAGCUUCCAAUAUAUUGUGUCUUUAUCUUAUCCUAGCAGAAAUGCGCUAUCUUUUUUAUCUAUUUUAACUUUUGUUGCUAUUGGUUUUAUGCUUCUUGUAGAUCUUAUCUAGUUGAUUGUUUAAUGUUGAGUUCUUUGUAUUUAUUGAACUUUUCAAAAAAAUAUUCAUUUUUUUUUUCUAUUUAAUUGUCAUUAGGUCGAUGUAUGACUUGAACAGCGGUAAACUACUGUAGCCUUUUUUGACAAACAGCUAGUCUUUCACUUAGUCAAAUGACAAAUUUUGAUUAUGUAAAGUAAAUUGUUU
RNAcentral lists this long non-coding RNA (1144 nucleotides) under Mytilus galloprovincialis (Mediterranean mussel). Lineage: Eukaryota; Metazoa; Mollusca; Bivalvia; Mytilida; Mytilidae. The record is from RNAcentral.